UACGUAGGGUGCGAGCGUUAAUCGGAAUUACUGGGCGUAAAGUGUGCGCAGGCGGCCAUGCAAGUCGAGUGUGAAAGCCCCGGGCUUAACUUGGGAAUUGCGCUCGAAACUACGUGGCUGGAGUGUGGCAGAGGAAGGUGGAAUUCCACGUGUAGCGGUGAAAUGCGUAGAGAUGUGGAGGAACACCAAUGGCGAAGGCAGCCUUCUGGGCCAACACUGACGCUCAUGCACGAAAGCGUGGGGAGCAAACAGG
This 253-nucleotide ribosomal RNA is filed under the name uncultured bacterium. RNAcentral describes it as "partial 16S ribosomal RNA". It matches the Rfam family "Bacterial small subunit ribosomal RNA", at positions 524 to 776 of the family's 1533-position model. The record is from RNAcentral.